RNAcentral lists this ribosomal RNA (526 nucleotides) under uncultured bacterium. RNAcentral describes it as "bacterial SSU rRNA". It matches the Rfam family "Bacterial small subunit ribosomal RNA", at positions 8 to 548 of the family's 1533-position model. The record is from RNAcentral.
AGAGUUUGAUCCCUGGCUCAGGAUGAACGCUGGCGGCGUGCUUAACACAUGCAAGUCGAGCGAUGAAGUUUCCUUCGGGAAACGGAUUAGCGGCGGACGGGUGAGUAACACGUGGGUAACCUGCCUCAUAGAGUGGAAUAGCCUUCCGAAAGGAAGAUUAAUACCGCAUAACGUUGAAAGAUGGCAUCAUCAUUCAACCAAAGGAGCAAUCCGCUAUGAGAUGGACCCGCGGCGCAUUAGCUAGUUGGUGGGGUAACGGCCUACCGAGGCGACGAUGCGUAGCCGACCUGAGAGGGUGAUCGGCCACAUUGGGACUGAGACACGGCCCAGACUCCUACGGGAGGCAGCAGUGGGGAAUAUUGCACAAUGGGGGAAACCCUGAUGCAGCAACGCCGCGUGAGUGAUGAAGGUUUUCGGAUCGUAAAGCUCUGUCUUUGGGGAAGAUAAUGACGGUACCCAAGGAGGAAGCCACGGCUAACUACGUGCCAGCAGCCGCGGUAAUACGUAGGUGGCGAGCGUUAUCCGG